This 468-nucleotide ribosomal RNA is filed under the name uncultured bacterium. RNAcentral describes it as "partial 16S ribosomal RNA". It matches the Rfam family "Bacterial small subunit ribosomal RNA", at positions 28 to 507 of the family's 1533-position model. The record is from RNAcentral.
GACGAACGCUGGCGGCGUGCUUAACACAUGCAAGUCGAACGGAAAGGCCCUGCUUUUGUGGGGUGCUCGAGUGGCGAACGGGUGAGUAACACGUGAGUAACCUGCCCUUGACUUUGGGAUAACUUCAGGAAACUGGGGCUAAUACCGGAUAGGAGCUCCUGCUGCAUGGUGGGGGUUGGAAAGUCUCGGCGGUUGGGGAUGGACUCGCGGCUGAUCAGCUUGUUGGUGGGGUAGUGGCUUACCAAGGCUUUGACGGGUAGCCGGCCUGAGAGGGUGACCGGCCACAUGGGGCCUGCGAUACGGCCCAGACUGCAACGGGAGGCAGCAGUGGGGAAUAUUGCCCAAUGGGAGGAAGCCUGAUGCAGCAACGCCGCGUGCGGGAUGACGGCCUUCGGGUUGUAAACCGCUUUCGCCUGUGACGAAGCGUGAGUGACGGUAAUGGGUAAAGAAGCACCGGCUAACUACGUG